RNAcentral lists this ribosomal RNA (441 nucleotides) under uncultured bacterium. RNAcentral's name for it is "partial 16S ribosomal RNA". It matches the Rfam family "Bacterial small subunit ribosomal RNA", at positions 338 to 795 of the family's 1533-position model. The record is from RNAcentral.
CCUACGGGAGGCAGCAGUGGGGGAUAUUGCACAAUGGGGGGAACCCUGAUGCAGCGACGCCGCGUGGGUGAAGGAGUGCUUCGGCAUGUAAAGCCCUAUCGGCAGGGAAGAAGCAAGACGGUACCUGACUAAGAAGCCCCGGCUAACUACGUGCCAGCAGCCGCGGUAAUACGUAGGGGUCGAGCGUUAUCCGGAUUCACUGGGUGUAAAGGGAGCGUAGACGGCCAUGCAAGCCAGGGGGGAAAGCCCGGGGCCCAACCCCGGGACUGCCCUUGGAACUGUGCGGCUAGAGUGCGGGAGGGGCAGGCGGAAUUCCUGGUGUAGCGGUGAAAUGCGUAGAUAUCAGGAGGAACACCGGCGGCGAAGGCGGCCUGCUGGACUGCGACUGACGUUGAGGCUCGAAAGCGUGGGGAGCGAACAGGAUUAGAUACCCUGGUAGUC